RNAcentral lists this ribosomal RNA (253 nucleotides) under uncultured bacterium. Its description in RNAcentral is "partial 16S ribosomal RNA". It matches the Rfam family "Bacterial small subunit ribosomal RNA", at positions 524 to 776 of the family's 1533-position model. The record is from RNAcentral.
UACAGAGGGGGCAAGCGUUGUUCGGAAUUACUGGGCGUAAAGGGCGCGUAGGCGGCCUUCUAAGUCGAACGUGAAAUCCCCGGGCUCAACCCGGGAACUGCGUCCGAUACUGGAAGGCUUGAAUCCGGGAGAGGGAUGCGGAAUUCCAGGUGUAGCGGUGAAAUGCGUAGAUAUCUGGAGGAACACCGGUGGCGAAGGCGGCAUCCUGGACCGGUAUUGACACUGAGGCACGAAGGCCAGGGGAGCAAACGGG